UCCAGACUCCUACGGGAGGCAGCAGUGAGGAAUAUUGGUCAAUGGCCGAGAGGCUGAACCAGCCAAGUCGCGUGAGGGAUGACGGCCCUACGGGUUAUAAACCUCUUUUGCCAGGGAGCAAAGAGCGGGACGCGUCCCGCCUCGAGAGUACCCGGAGAAAAAGCAUCGGCUAACUCCGUGCCAGCAGCCGCGGUAAUACGGAGGAUCCGAGCGUUAUCCGGAUUUAUUGGGUUUAAAGGGAGCGUAGAUGGGUUGUUAAGUCAGUUGUGAAAGUUUGCGGCUCAACCGUAAAAUUGCAAUUGAUACUGGCAGUCUUGAGUACAGUUGAGGUAGGCGGAAUUCGUGGUGUAGCGGUGAAAUGCAUAGAUAUCACGCAGAACUCCGAUUGCGAAGGCAGCUUACUAAACUAUAACUGACACUGAAGCACGAAAGCGUGGGGAUCAAACAGGAUUAGAUACCCCUGUAC
Molecule: ribosomal RNA, 466 nt
Filed under: uncultured bacterium
Lineage: Bacteria
Description: bacterial SSU rRNA
Rfam family: Bacterial small subunit ribosomal RNA
Source: RNAcentral